AGGGUUAUAGUUAAUAAUAACAUCUGGGUUGCAUUCAGAAGGUGCUAAAACAGCUUUCCUUA
RNAcentral lists this transfer RNA (62 nucleotides) under Gomphiocephalus hodgsoni. RNAcentral describes it as "tRNA-Ala". Lineage: Eukaryota; Metazoa; Arthropoda; Collembola; Poduromorpha; Hypogastruridae. The record is from RNAcentral.